GACGUAGGAUGCAAGCGUUGUUCGGAUUUAUUGGGCGUAAAGCGAGCGUAGGUGGCUAGAUAAGUCUGGUGUUAAAGCUAGGGGCUCAACCCCUGUGUUGCACUGGAAACUGUCUGGCUUGAGGAUGGUAGGGGAAGGUGGAAUUCCGAGUGUAGCGGUGAAAUGCGUAGAUAUUCGGAGGAACACCGGUGGCGAAAGCGGCCUUCUGGGCCAUUUCUGACACUGAGGCUCGAAAGCUUGGGGAGCAAACGGG
RNAcentral lists this ribosomal RNA (253 nucleotides) under uncultured bacterium. RNAcentral's name for it is "partial 16S ribosomal RNA". It matches the Rfam family "Bacterial small subunit ribosomal RNA", at positions 524 to 776 of the family's 1533-position model. The record is from RNAcentral.